This 503-nucleotide ribosomal RNA is filed under the name uncultured bacterium. RNAcentral's name for it is "bacterial SSU rRNA". It matches the Rfam family "Bacterial small subunit ribosomal RNA", at positions 29 to 526 of the family's 1533-position model. The record is from RNAcentral.
AUUGAACGCUGGCGGCAUGCCUUACACAUGCAAGUCGAACGGUAACGCGGGGCAACCUGGCGACGAGUGGCGAACGGGUGAGUAAUAUAUCGGAACGUGCCCAGUAGUGGGGGAUAGCCCGGCGAAAGCCGGAUUAAUACCGCAUGAGACCUGAGGGUGAAAGCGGGGGAUCGCAAGACCUCGCGCUAUUGGAGCGGCCGAUAUCAGAUUAGGUAGUUGGUGGGGUAAAGGCCUACCAAGCCGACGAUCUGUAGCUGGUCUGAGAGGACGACCAGCCACACUGGGACUGAGACACGGCCCAGACUCCUACGGGAGGCAGCAGUGGGGAAUUUUGGACAAUGGGCGCAAGCCUGAUCCAGCCAUGCCGCGUGCGGGAAGAAGGCCUUCGGUUGUAAACCGCUUUUGUCAGGGAAGAAAUCUUCUGGGUUAAUACCUCGGGAGGAUGACGGUACCUGAAGAAUAAGCACCGGCUAACUACGUGCCAGCAGCCGCGGUAAGAGUAC